This 496-nucleotide ribosomal RNA is filed under the name uncultured bacterium. RNAcentral describes it as "partial 16S ribosomal RNA". It matches the Rfam family "Bacterial small subunit ribosomal RNA", at positions 28 to 523 of the family's 1533-position model. The record is from RNAcentral.
GUUGAACGCUGGCGGCAUGCUUUACACAUGCAAGUCGAACGGUAGAGGGGGCAACCCCUUGAGAGUGGCGAACGGGUGAGUAAUGCAUCGGAACGUGCCCAGUCGUGGGGGAUAACGCAGCGAAAGCUGUGCUAAUACCGCAUACGAUCUCUGGAUGAAAGCGGGGGACCGAAAGGCCUCGCGCGAUUGGAGCGGCCGAUGUCAGAUUAGGUAGUUGGUGGGGUAAAGGCCUACCAAGCCAACGAUCUGUAGCUGGUCUGAGAGGACGACCAGCCACACUGGGACUGAGACACGGCCCAGACGCCUACGGGAGGCAGCAGUGGGGAAUUUUGGACAAUGGGCGCAAGCCUGAUCCAGCAAUGCCGCGUGCAGGAAGAAGGCCUUCGGGUUGUAAACUGCUUUUGUACGGAACGAAACGGUCUGGGUUAAUACCCUGGGCUAAUGACGGUACCGUAAGAAUAAGCACCGGCUAACUACGUGCCAGCCGCCGCAGUAA